UGCUGGAGGUAUCAGAAGUGCGAAUGCUGACAUAAGUAACGAUAAAGCGGGUGAAAAGCCCGCUCGCCGGAAGACCAAGGGUUCCUGUCCAACGUUAAUCGGGGCAGGGUGAGUCGACCCCUAAGGCGAGGCCGAAAGGCGUAGUCGAUGGGAAACGGGUUAAUAUUCCCGUACUUGGUGUUACUGCGAAGGGGGGACGGAGAAGGCUAUGUUGGCCGGGCGACGGUUGUCCCGGUUUAAGCGUGUAGGUGUGUGUUCCAGGUAAAUCCGGUUCACUUUAACACUGAGGCGUGACGACGAGGCACUACGGUGCUGAAGCAACAAAUGCCCUGCUUCCAGGAAAAGCCUCUAAGCAUCAGGUAACAUCAAAUCGUACCCCAAACCGACACAGGUGGUCAGGUAGAGAAUACCAAGGCGCUUGAGAGAACUCGGGUGAAGGAACUAGGCAAAAUGGUGCCGUAACUUCGGGAGAAGGCACGCUGACACGUAGGUGAAGUGAUUUACUCAUGGAGCUGAAGUCAGUCGAAGAUACCAGCUGGCUGCAACUGUUUAUUAAAAACACAGCACUGUGCAAACACGAAAGUGGACGUAUACGGUGUGACGCCUGCCCGGUGCCGGAAGGUUAAUUGAUGGGGUCAGCGCAAGCGAAGCUCCUGAUCGAAGCCCCGGUAAACGGCGGCCGUAACUAUAACGGUCCUAAGGUAGCGAAAUUCCUUGUCGGGUAAGUUCCGACCUGCACGAAUGGCGUAAUGAUGGCCAGGCUGUCUCCACCCGAGACUCAGUGAAAUUGAACUCGCUGUGAAGAUGCAGUGUACCCGCGGCAAGACGGAAAGACCCCGUGAACCUUUACUAUAGCUUGACACUGAACAUUGAGCCUUGAUGUGUAGGAUAGGUGGGAGGCUUUGAAGUGUGGACGCCAGUCUGCAUGGAGCCGACCUUGAAAUACCACCCUUUAAUGUUUGAUGUUCUAACGUGGACCCGUUACCCGGGUUGCGGACAGUGUCUGGUGGGUAGUUUGACUGGGGCGGUCUCCUCCUAAAGAGUAACGGAGGAGCACGAAGGUUGGCUAAUCCUGGUCGGACAUCAGGAGGUUAGUGCAAUGGCAUAAGCCAGCUUGACUGCGAGCGUGACGGCGCGAGCAGGUGCGAAAGCAGGUCAUAGUGAUCCGGUGGUUCUGAAUGGAAGGGCCAUCGCUCAACGGAUAAAAGGUACUCCGGGGAUAACAGGCUGAUACCGCCCAAGAGUUCAUAUCGACGGCGGUGUUUGGCACCUCGAUGUCGGCUCAUCACAUCCUGGGGCUGAAGUAGGUCCCAAGGGUAUGGCUGUUCGCCAUUUAAAGUGGUACGCGAGCUGGGUUUAGAACGUCGUGAGACAGUUCGGUCCCUAUCUGCCGUGGGCGCUGGAGAACUGAGGGGGGCUGCUCCUAGUACGAGAGGACCGGAGUGGACGCAUCACUGGUGUUCGGGUUGUCAUGCCAAUGGCACUGCCCGGUAGCUAAAUGCGGAAGAGAUAAGUGCUGAAAGCAUCUAAGCACGAAACUUGCCCCGAGAUGAGUUCUCCCUGAGACUUA
Molecule: ribosomal RNA, 1570 nt
Filed under: Salmonella enterica subsp. enterica serovar Infantis
Lineage: Bacteria; Pseudomonadati; Pseudomonadota; Gammaproteobacteria; Enterobacterales; Enterobacteriaceae
Also listed under: 157 other names
Description: partial 23S ribosomal RNA
Rfam family: Bacterial large subunit ribosomal RNA
Source: RNAcentral